RNAcentral lists this transfer RNA (72 nucleotides) under Salmo salar (Atlantic salmon). It matches the Rfam family "tRNA". Rfam says of the family: Transfer RNA (tRNA) molecules are approximately 80 nucleotides in length. Their secondary structure includes four short double-helical elements and three loops (D, anti-codon, and T loops). The record is from Rfam by way of RNAcentral. Lineage: Eukaryota; Metazoa; Chordata; Actinopteri; Salmoniformes; Salmonidae.
UCCCAUGUGGCUCAGUUGGUAGAGCAUGGUGUUUGCAACGCCAGGGUUGUGGGUUCGAUUUCCACGGGGGAC